UUAAUACCCCCUCUCUCUGAAAAUACUUGUCGAAGAAAUGGAUAAAAAUAGAUGUAUCUAGAACUAAAAUACAUCUGGAUACAUUCAUUUCUCCGACAAGUAUUUCCAGAUGGAGGGAGUAUCUU
This is a non-coding RNA of Triticum aestivum (bread wheat), 125 nucleotides long. Lineage: Eukaryota; Viridiplantae; Streptophyta; Magnoliopsida; Poales; Poaceae. The record is from Rfam.